This 804-nucleotide ribosomal RNA is filed under the name Chaetomium sp. 'paucipilum'. RNAcentral's name for it is "LSU rRNA". It matches the Rfam family "Eukaryotic large subunit ribosomal RNA", at positions 81 to 918 of the family's 3401-position model. Lineage: Eukaryota; Fungi; Ascomycota; Sordariomycetes; Sordariales; Chaetomiaceae. The record is from RNAcentral.
UAGUAACGGCGAGUGAAGCGGCAACAGCUCAAAUUUGAAAUCUGGCCUCGGCCCGAGUUGUAAUUUGCAGAGGAAGCUUUAGGCGCGGCACCUUCUGAGUCCCCUGGAACGGGGCGCCAUAGAGGGUGAGAGCCCCGUAUAGUUGGAUGCCUAGCCUGUGUAAAGCUCCUUCGACGAGUCGAGUAGUUUGGGAAUGCUGCUCAAAAUGGGAGGUAAAUUUCUUCUAAAGCUAAAUACCGGCCAGAGACCGAUAGCGCACAAGUAGAGUGAUCGAAAGAUGAAAAGCACUUUGAAAAGAGGGUUAAAUAGCACGUGAAAUUGUUGAAAGGGAAGCGCUUGUGACCAGACUUGCGCCGGGCUGAUCAUCCGGUGUUCUCACCGGUGCACUCGGCCCGGCACAGGCCAGCAUCGGUUCUCGCGGGGGGAUAAAGGUCCCGGGAACGUAGCUCCUCCGGGAGUGUUAUAGCCCGGGGCGUAAUGCCCUCGCGGGGACCGAGGUUCGCGCGUCUGCAAGGAUGCUGGCGUAAUGGUCAUCAGCGACCCGUCUUGAAACACGGACCAAGGAGUCAAGGUUUUGCGCGAGUGUUUGGGUGUCAAACCCGCACGCGUAAUGAAAGUGAACGUAGGUGAGAGCUUCGGCGCAUCAUCGACCGAUCCUGAUGUUUUCGGAUGGAUUUGAGUAGGAGCGUUAAGCCUUGGACCCGAAAGAUGGUGAACUAUGCUUGGAUAGGGUGAAGCCAGAGGAAACUCUGGUGGAGGCUCGCAGCGGUUCUGACGUGCAAAUCGAUCGUCAAAUCUGAGCAU